This 486-nucleotide ribosomal RNA is filed under the name uncultured Acidobacteriota bacterium. RNAcentral describes it as "bacterial SSU rRNA". It matches the Rfam family "Bacterial small subunit ribosomal RNA", at positions 8 to 522 of the family's 1533-position model. Lineage: Bacteria; Pseudomonadati; Acidobacteriota. The record is from RNAcentral.
AGAGUUUGAUCCUGGCUCAGGACGAACGCUGGCGGCGUGCUUAACACAUGCAAGUCGAACGAGGUAGCAAUACCUAGUGGCGGACGGGUGAGUAACACGUAGGUAACCUGCCUUGUAGUGGGGGAUACCCAUCCGAAAGGAUGGCUAAUACCGCAUACCCUUUGCCGUUGUAAUACGGUUCAGGAAAGAUUUAUCGCUAUGAGAGGGGCCUACGCAUGAUUAGCUAGUUGGUGAGGUAACGGCUCACCAAGGCGACGAUCAUUAGCUGGUCUGAGAGGACGAUCAGCCACACUGGAACUGAGACACGGUCCAGACUCCUACGGGAGGCAGCAGUGGGGAAUUUUCCGCAAUGGGCGAAAGCCUGACGGAGCAACGCCGCGUGGGUGAUGAAGUAUUUCGGUACGUAAAACCCUUUCAGCAGGGACGAACACAAUGACGGUACCUGCAGAAGAAGCAUCGGCUAACUACGUGCCAGCAGCCGCGGUA